CCUUCCUAGUUGGAGCAAGAGAGACAAAGCUCUGAUUUUGCAUUAAGUCAGAAAAUUCAAUUUGCCUUUUAAUGAGAGAGAGCAUGCAGCUAAAGAGUGACUGUAAAUCCCAUUCCUGAAGCUAAAAGGGAAUUGUAUCUGCAAGGACAAAACAUCCCUUAAUCUCUUCCCUACUUCAGCCUUUAAAAUAGGAUUUCUGUUCCCUCACCUGUGUAGCCCUGCUAUUUAUCCCCUAGGAGUGAACUUCCUGGGCACUGUGGUUCAAAUGCUUGAACUCCUCCCCUUCUGAGGUUAUGUGCCCUUUGAUCGGAAAGGGAUGACACUCCUAAGCACAGGGACCUGCAGCUACACCAGAAGGAAGCACAGCAGCAGCAUUUCCUAGAAUGCUGUGGACACAGAAGGAUUGAACUGCAGAGCAGUAAGACGCCAGUACUGGAGAAACAGCAAGCAGAGCUUUGGGGUAAAGAGGUGGGGGGCCUACUAGGCACUGCAAUGUCUGCAGCAUGGGGCACGCUGACUGGAGCUGCGGGAUCAAGACUGCCGUGCCAAUGACUGUGUGGUUCAGCUCAGCAUAUACGCAGCACAGGUCACUGUGGGUGGGACUGGUGUCUUCAGGACUGACACAGGUGUGGCUACUAGAUACUGCAUCACAGCCAGGGAGUGAUCAGGCUCAAACUGUCAACUGAGAGAUGUUUAGAGAUCUGGUCAAGUGUUUUUCACCCCAGCCUCUUGGACAGUACUCCGUAUGACUCAAGCCUCCCGUGUAUUUACAUCAAAAAUCUGGCUGAAAAUUAUAAAGAAAAAAAAGUCAACCAAUUCAGGCUAGCCUGUAAGAUCCUAAGUUUUGCAAACUAGAUUGUUUUAUGCUGUGACACUGGUCAACUCCAAACACUAGGACUGAAAAUGUGCAGAAUAUACUUGCUUGUACUGAAACCGUGUAACUCACCUUUGUUGCGUGCUUCACCAAGCCUUUCUGAGAGAGAGAACAUCAUUUCACAAACAUCCCCACUGCAAGAGACAGAAGCUGCAUAAUUAGUGUGAGGAAUAAAAGCACUAGCCUCUC
Non-coding RNA from Anas platyrhynchos (mallard), 1063 nucleotides. Lineage: Eukaryota; Metazoa; Chordata; Aves; Anseriformes; Anatidae. The record is from RefSeq and is a predicted model, not a curated record.